AAGGGAUAUUGCGACAAUGGGCGAAAGCCUGACGCAGCAACGCCGCGUGGAGGAUGACGGCCUUCGGGUUGUAAACUCCUUUACCGGGGAAGAGGAAGGACGGUACCCGGUGAAGAAGUCUCGGCUAACUACGUGCCAGCAGCCGCGGUAAAACGUAGGAGGCAAGCGUUAUCCGGAUUCACUGGGCGUAAAGCGCGUGCAGGCGGCUCGGUAAGUUGGGCGUGAAAUCUCCUGGCUUAACUAGGAGAGGCCGUCCAAUACUACCGGGCUAGAGAGCAGUAGAGGAAGAUGGAAUUCCCGGUGUAGUGGUGAAAUGCGUAGAUAUCGGGAGGAACACCAGUGGCGAAGGCGAUCUUCUGGACUGUUUCUGACGCUCAGACGCGAAAGCUAGGGUAGUAAACGGGAUUAGAGACCCCGGUAAUCCUAGCCGUAAACGAUGUGAACUUGGCGUCGGUAGCUUAAACACUAUCGGUGCCGCAGCAAACGCGAUAAGUUCACCGCCUGGGGACUACGAUUGCAAGAUUA
RNAcentral lists this ribosomal RNA (525 nucleotides) under uncultured Chloroflexota bacterium. RNAcentral describes it as "bacterial SSU rRNA". It matches the Rfam family "Bacterial small subunit ribosomal RNA", at positions 356 to 896 of the family's 1533-position model. The record is from RNAcentral. Lineage: Bacteria; Bacillati; Chloroflexota.